This 889-nucleotide ribosomal RNA is filed under the name Galkinius indicus. RNAcentral describes it as "partial 16S large subunit ribosomal RNA". The stretch from base 432 to 587 matches the Rfam family "Archaeal large subunit ribosomal RNA", at positions 1883 to 2090 of the family's 2987-position model. Lineage: Eukaryota; Metazoa; Arthropoda; Thecostraca; Balanomorpha; Pyrgomatidae. The record is from RNAcentral.
AAAGAUCUAAGUAAUUAUUAAAAUUUUAGUUUCAAAAAAAUUUUUUAUUGUUAUUUAGUUGUAAAAUUCUAAUCGCUUUUAUUUAUAUCUAGUAACUUUAGAAAUAAAUUUAGUUUAGGAUAAUAAGGAAAGUUUUAUUUGAAAUUUUUUUCUAGUUUAUUCUUAAAUUUUUGGGGAUGAGCUCAAAAAUUAUUAUAUAAGAAUUAAUUUGUAUUUUUUUUUCAUAGGCUUAGAAUUAGCCAAUUGAUAGUGUUAUAAAAUAUAAAGACAAGUUUUUGAUUUUAUUUUCUUUUUAUAUUAUAAAGUUAAUUUUAAAAUUUAAGAUUAUUUGAAAAUAUGAUAACAUUAGUAGAUAAUUAAAUAAAGGAUAUUAUUUAAAUUUUCCUUUUAAAUUUUAAUUAAUUAUUAUAACAAAAGAACUCGGCAAAAAAAAUUUCCGAAUGUUUAACAAAAACAUUUCCUCUUAGUUUGGGAGGUAAGGCCUGCUCACUGAGGUUUUAAAGAGCCGCAGUAUCCUAACUGUGCUAAGGUAGCAUAAUCAUUAGUCUUUUAAUUGGGGACUGGUAUGAAUGGCUUAACGAGAAAUUAACUUUUUUUGUUAUAAAUAUUGAACUUAAUUUUUUAGUGAAAAAGCUAAAAUAAUUCAGAAAGACGAGAAGACCCUAUAGAGUUUUAUGCUUUUAUAUAUUUAUUUACAUUAGAUUUUUAAUAAUUAAGUGUAAAAAAGUAUUUUGUUGGGGCGACAUUUAGAUAAAUAAAACUCUUUAUUUUUAAAAUUUUUAUGAAAAUAAAAAUUGAUCCUUUAAAAAAGAUCAAAAGAAAAAAUUACCUUAGGGAUAACAGCGUAAUCUUUUUUUAGAGUUCUAAUCGACAAAAAGGUUUGCGACCU